Molecule: long non-coding RNA, 685 nt
Organism: Perognathus longimembris pacificus (Pacific pocket mouse)
Lineage: Eukaryota; Metazoa; Chordata; Mammalia; Rodentia; Heteromyidae
Exons: 2
Source: RefSeq, a predicted model, not a curated record
CCAUCCCAAAAUGCCAGAAAUGGAAGUAGCAGCCUUGAGCAAAAAAGUUCAGGGACCACAACCAGGCUCUGAGUUCAAAACCCAAGACACACACACACACACACACACAGAUACCAAUCUCAGAUUGUUCAAACCAAGACAUCAUAACCUCGGUUUGUUUUAAAGGUUUAUGUCACAGCCUUUACUCAGGUAGUGGUAUCUACAAUUUUAAAGCUGCAAAAAUGAACUUGGUGUAUCAGGCAAACCUCAUUUUAUAAAAGAGAAAACAAUACACAGAAGAAGGAAAAAAUCUGGCCUAAAAAAAAUCACAAAGCUAGGGCUAAAAGCCAGGUCAGCCCACUCUUGUCACCACAUUGGAGAGGCUCAACUAAAUACGUGUUCACACUUAAAGAUUAGUCCUGACUGGAUUAAGAAAUACCUAGGAGAUUAGGUAUUCAAUUGUUCUCUUGGUGUGUCUAUGAGGUUUGUUUCCAGAGAGAAUUAAACAGGGAAAGACUCCUCUCCAAUGUGGGUGGCACCAUCCCAUAGGCGGGAGCCUGAGUGGAAUACGAAGAGAAAAUGGACAAAGCCCAAUUACUGGCAUGCACUCAUUCUCUUCCACCUUCGUCCACUUCCUCACUGCUUCCUGGCCUCCAGGAGGUGAGCAGCCCUACCCAUGAUGGACUGGAACCUCUGAAAGUAUGAG